This 446-nucleotide ribosomal RNA is filed under the name uncultured bacterium. Its description in RNAcentral is "SSU rRNA". It matches the Rfam family "Bacterial small subunit ribosomal RNA", at positions 26 to 518 of the family's 1533-position model. The record is from RNAcentral.
AGAGCGAACGCUGGCGGCAGGCCUAACACAUGCAAGUCGAGCGCCCGUAGCAAUACGGGAGCGGCAGACGGGAUAGUAACACGUGGGAACGCGCCCUUCGGUUCGGAAUAACUCAGGGAAACUUGAGCUAAUACCGGAUACGCCCUUACGGGGAAAGAUUUAUUGCCGAAGGAACGGCCCGCGUCCGAUUAGCUAGUUGGUGAGGUAAUGGCUCACCAAGGCGACGAUCGGUAGCUGGUCUGAGAGGAUGACCAGCAUCACUGGGACUGAGACACGGCCCAGACUCCUACGGGAGGCAGCAGUGGGAAUAUUGGACAAUGGGCGCAAGCCUGAUCCAGCCAUGCCGCGUGGAUGAUGAAGGCCUUAGGGUUGUAAAGUCCUUUUAACGGGGAAGAUAAUGACGGUACCCGUAGAAUAAGCCCGGCUAACUUCGCGCCAGCAGCCGC